UACGGGGGGGGCAAGCGUUGUUCGGAAUUACUGGGCGUAAAGGGCUCGUAGGCGGCCAACUAAGUCAGACGUGAAAUCCCUCGGCUUAACCGGGGAACUGCGUCUGAUACUGGAUGGCUUGAGGUUGGGAGAGGGAUGCGGAAUUCCAGGUGUAGCGGUGAAAUGCGUAGAUAUCUGGAGGAACACCGGUGGCGAAGGCGGCAUCCUGGACCGGCAUUGACGCUGAGUGAGCGAAAGCUAGGGGAGCAAACGGG
RNAcentral lists this ribosomal RNA (254 nucleotides) under uncultured bacterium. Its description in RNAcentral is "partial 16S ribosomal RNA". It matches the Rfam family "Bacterial small subunit ribosomal RNA", at positions 524 to 776 of the family's 1533-position model. The record is from RNAcentral.